RNAcentral lists this ribosomal RNA (253 nucleotides) under uncultured bacterium. RNAcentral describes it as "partial 16S ribosomal RNA". It matches the Rfam family "Bacterial small subunit ribosomal RNA", at positions 524 to 776 of the family's 1533-position model. The record is from RNAcentral.
UACGGAGGGUGCAAGCGUUAUCCGGAUUUACUGGGUUUAAAGGGUGUGUAGGCGGGUCUUUAAGUCAGUGGUGAAAUCUCCGAGCUUAACUUGGAAACUGCCAUUGAUACUAUUGAUCUUGAAUUCUGUUGAGGUGGGCGGAAUGUGUCAUGUAGCGGUGAAAUGCUUAGAUAUGACACAGAACACCGAUUGCGAAGGCAGCUCACUAAACUGUAACUGACGCUGAGGCACGAAAGCGUGGGGAGCAAACAGG